This 87-nucleotide transfer RNA is filed under the name Candidatus Omnitrophota bacterium. RNAcentral describes it as "tRNA-Ser". It matches the Rfam family "tRNA". From Rfam's summary of the family: Transfer RNA (tRNA) molecules are approximately 80 nucleotides in length. The record is from RNAcentral. Lineage: Bacteria; Pseudomonadati; Candidatus Omnitrophota.
GGAGAGAUGGCUGAGUGGACUAUAGCGGCCGCCCCGAAAGCGGCUGUACCUUAACCGGUACCGCAGGUUCGAAUCCUGCUCUCUCCG